RNAcentral lists this long non-coding RNA (225 nucleotides) under Mytilus galloprovincialis (Mediterranean mussel). Lineage: Eukaryota; Metazoa; Mollusca; Bivalvia; Mytilida; Mytilidae. The record is from RNAcentral.
CAGUGCGUGAAUUUUUCUUGCUACCUGAUUAAAAGAUAUUACGAGACGUGAAUAAUCAAAGUUUAUUGAUUGGUUAGGACAAUCCAAACCUAGUAAAUGUCCUUAAAUCCCGUAGAGUAUCGGAUUUGUCCUCUCUAUUUUAGCAAUUAGAUUUUGCCUGGUCAUUAAUCAUGCAUAUUCAUGAUAUUGGUACACAGGUAACUUUUAUCUAUAAAUAGUCGAAUC